UGGCACGACUCUGUGCUAAAAAAAAAAGGUCGAAAAAGACAAGGCAUGGCAAGCCGAUAGGGAAGGCAUUGCUCCGGGCAUGCCAAGACCAAGGGUGGCCAAGGCAUUGCUCACGGCAAAGCAAUUAAGGCAAAGGCAUAUGGCAAGCCGAUUGCUUGUCACCGGGCAAGGCAAUGCAUUGCUCACGACAUGCCAAGACCAAGGGUGGCCAAGGCAUGACUCACGGCAUGCCAAAACAAGGCGUGGCCAAGGCAAAGCCAUAACAAGGGUUGGCUCCCAAGUUGCUGGGUAACGGCUAAAAAGUUGCUGGAUAACGGCAACCAAGUUGUCGGGUAAGGCUGGGUAUCGGCUAAAAAGUUGCUGGGUAACGGCACCCAAGUUGCUGGGCAACGGCUAAAAAGUUGCUGGGAAAUGGCAACCAAGAUGUCGGGUAACGCUUGGUAUCGGCCAAAAAGUUGCUGGGUAACGGCAACCAGGUUGUCGGGUAACGCCGGGUGUCGGCUAAAAAGCAUAUGGCAAGCCGAUUGCUUGUCACCGGGCAAGGCAAUGCAUUGCUCACGACAUGCCAAGACCAAGGGUGGCCAAGGCAUGACUCACGGCAUGCCAAAACAAGGCGUGGCCAAGGCAAAGCCAUAACAAGGGUUGGCUCCCAAGUUGCUGGGUAACGGCUAAAAAGUUGCUGGAUAACGGCAACCAAGUUGUCGGGUAAGGCUGGGUAUCGGCUAAAAAGUUGUCGGGUAACGCCGGGUGUCGGCUAAAAAGUUGCUGGGUAACGGCAACCAAAUUGUCGGGUAACGCUGGGUAUCGGCUAAAAGAUUGCUGGGUAACGGCUAAGAAGUUGCUAGGCAACGGCAAACAAGUUGCUGGGUAACGGCUAAAAAGUUGCUGGGUAACGGCUAAAAAGUUGCUGGGUACCGGCUAAAAAGUAGCUUGUCGCCGGGCAAAUCAAUGCAAGCACCAAUAUGUUCUUGUCGAAACGCCCCAAAAACUCUUGUUUAGUCGCCAUCUUUUGGGACUUUCGCAAUGUUAGUUUUUAAUCUUUUUUAAUUUUUAUUUUUAGACGUUUUUAAGUCUUAAUUUAAACAUUUUCUAUUAUAGAUGCCUCAUUUUUCAACCCAAUAUAUUUACAUAAUUAUUGUGUAGCUUGUUUAUAAUUUUUCGUGAUUUUUUCUUACUUUUUUUGUAUUUUUUUGCAUUUUUGUCUAUUUAUUUUUUGUUUAAUUAAUAUAAAAUUAUCCUUUGGGCAAAAAAUUCUGAAUUUUUGUGUGGAGGUGCUCCAUAUUUUUGUGAAGAUGUCCCAAUUCAAAGUUCAUGAAAAAAAGUUGUGAUGCUCAAAAAAAACCCCGUUGCUUCAGUUCAGACACAUUGAUGUUCCUUCCUGCCACAAGGGCAAAGGCUAAUUUUACUACUAUAGGGGGGGGUGGUGUCCCUCCCUUGGGGAAGCCGUGGCCACCCGACGCCGGGUGCCAAGGCAUGUUGCUAUCGAGACCACCCGGGCAAUUCUUGGCCAUUUGGCCUCGGUUACUCGAGAAAACACUACCCGUCGGUAAUGCCUGGAAAAAAGACCGAAAUGCCCCUGAAUCGAAAUGCUAUUUUAAGCCAUCCCGAAAGGCAAAGCACGGCUCUAUCGGGCAGAGCAGGACUCUAUCGGGCAGUUGCUGGCCGUUUGGCCUCGAAUACCCCUGGAAUCACAUCCCCGUCAGUAAUGCUCGGAAGAAAAGACCAAAAUUCUCAUGAAACGGCAUGCUCUUUUAGCCGAGACGCGACUUUAUCGAGCAAAAACUAGAUUUCCUCUGCCUCGUUGCCUCGCUUACUCAAGAGAACCAGAUCCGUCAUUAAUGCUCGGAAAGAGCACCGAAAGGCCCUUGAAACGGCAUGCUACUAUAACCGGGUUUGGCAAAGGCGAAACUAGAUUUUGUUUGCCGUUUGGGUUAGGCUGUACCAGUCGCUAUCGUCCACCGCCUAGCCUUCCAAGUGUUUCCAUGUGUCUCCAAUGCCAUAAUGCCAUAGUGCCACCCCGUGACGCGCCCGCCCGCUUGGGUCUUUGAUAUAUAGCAUGUUUAGAAUUUUUUUUCUAAAUAUUCUUAUAUCAAA
Long non-coding RNA from Rhododendron vialii, 2094 nucleotides. RefSeq lists it as uncharacterized. The transcript is spliced from 4 exons. The record is from RefSeq and is a predicted model, not a curated record. Lineage: Eukaryota; Viridiplantae; Streptophyta; Magnoliopsida; Ericales; Ericaceae.